RNAcentral lists this ribosomal RNA (761 nucleotides) under uncultured bacterium. Its description in RNAcentral is "bacterial SSU rRNA". It matches the Rfam family "Bacterial small subunit ribosomal RNA", at positions 28 to 776 of the family's 1533-position model. The record is from RNAcentral.
AUUGAACGCUGGCGGCAGGCUUAACACAUGCAAGUCGAACGGUAACAUAAGAAAAGCUUGCUUUUUUUGAUGACGAGUGGCGGACGGGUGAGUAAUGCUUGGGAAUCUGCCUUAUGGAGGGGGAUAACUACGGGAAACUGUAGCUAAUACCGCAUAAUAUCUACGGAUUAAAGUGUGGGAUCUUCGGACCACAUACCAUAAGAUGAGCCCAAGUGAGAUUAGGUAGUUGGUGAGGUAAAGGCUCACCAAGCUGACGAUCUCUAGCUGGUUUGAGAGGAUGACCAGCCACACUGGGACUGAGACACGGCCCAGACUCCUACGGGAGGCAGCAGUGGGGAAUAUUGCACAAUGGGCGCAAGCCUGAUGCAGCCAUGUCGCGUGAAUGAAGAAGGCUUUCGGGUUGUAAAGUUCUUUCAUUAGUGAGAAAGGUAUAAAUGUUAAUAGCAUUUGUAAUUGAUGUUAGCUAAAGAAGAAGCACCGGCUAACUCCGUGCCAGCAGCCGCGGUAAUACGGAGGGUGCGAGCGUUAAUCGGAAUAACUGGGCGUAAAGGGCAUGCAGGCGGUUACUUAAGUCAGAUGUGAAAGCCCCGAGCUUAACUUGGGAAUUGCAUUUGAAACUGGGUGACUAGAGUCCUCUAGGGAGGGGUAGAAUUCCACGUGUAGCGGUGAAAUGCGUAGAGAUGUGGAGGAAUACCGAAGGCGAAGGCAGCCCCUUGGAGAGAGACUGACGCUCAUAUGCGAAAGCGUGGGUAGCAAACAGG